CUUGGUAGGCGUCUGCGUUUCAUGCAGUCGAGCGGCAGCGACACAUUGACCCUUCGGGUGAUUUGUUGGGCGGCGAGCGGCGGACGGGUGAGUAAUGCCUGGGAAUAUGCCCUGAUGUGGGGGAUAACCAUUGGAAACGAUGGCUAAUACCGCAUAAUCUCUUCGGAGCAAAGAGGGGGACCUUCGGGCCUCUCGCGUCAGGAUUAGCCCAGGUGAGAUUAGCUUGUUGGUGAGGUAAGAGCUCACCAAGGCAACGAUCUCUAGCUGGUCUGAGAGGAUGAUCAGCCACACUGGAACUGAGACACGGUCCAGACUCCUACGGGAGGCAGCAGUGGGGAAUAUUGCACAAUGGGGGAAACCCUGAUGCAGCCAUGCCGCGUGUAUGAAGAAGGCCUUCGGGUUGUAAAGUACUUUCAGUUGUGAGGAAGGCGUAUGCGUUAAUAGCGUAUGUGUUUGACGUUAGCAACAGAAGAAGCACCGGCUAACUCCGUGCCAGCAGCCGCGGUAAUACGGAGGGUGCGAGCGUUAAUCGGAAUUACUGGGCGUAAAGCGCAUGCAGGCGGCUUGUUAAGCCAGAUGUGAAAGCCCGGGGCUCAACCUCGGAAUAGCAUUUGGAACUGGCAGGCUAGAGUCUUGUAGAGGGGG
Molecule: ribosomal RNA, 645 nt
Filed under: Photobacterium sp. MR06-64
Lineage: Bacteria; Pseudomonadati; Pseudomonadota; Gammaproteobacteria; Vibrionales; Vibrionaceae
Description: bacterial SSU rRNA
Rfam family: Bacterial small subunit ribosomal RNA
Source: RNAcentral